ACGUUAUUAGUAUAUUUUGAGUAUAUUGUCUUUCCAAGUCAAGGGUCCUAUGUAUUAGGUUAGCGUA
Molecule: transfer RNA, 67 nt
Filed under: Fischoederius cobboldi
Lineage: Eukaryota; Metazoa; Platyhelminthes; Trematoda; Plagiorchiida; Gastrothylacidae
Description: tRNA-Gly
Source: RNAcentral